RNAcentral lists this ribosomal RNA (508 nucleotides) under uncultured bacterium. RNAcentral describes it as "partial 16S ribosomal RNA". It matches the Rfam family "Bacterial small subunit ribosomal RNA", at positions 29 to 523 of the family's 1533-position model. The record is from RNAcentral.
AGUGAACGCUGGCGGCAGGCCUAACACAUGCAAGUCGAACGGCAGCACAGUAAGAGCUUGCUCUUAUGGGUGGCGAGUGGCGGACGGGUGAGGAAUACAUCGGAAUCUACUCUUUCGUGGGGGAUAACGUAGGGAAACUUACGCUAAUACCGCAUACGACCUACGGGUGAAAGCGGAGGACCUUCGGGCUUCGCGCGAUGGAAUGCGCCGAUGUCGGAUUAGCUAGUUGGCGGGGUAAAGGCCCACCAAGGCGACGAUCCGUAGCUGGUCUGAGAGGAUGAUCAGCCACACUGGAACUGAGACACGGUCCAGACUCCUACGGGAGGCAGCAGUGGGGAAUAUUGGACAAUGGGCGCAAGCCUGAUCCAGCCAUGCCGCGUGGGUGAAGAAGGCCUUCGGGUUGUAAAGCCCUUUUGUUGGGAAAGAAAAGCAGUCGGUUAAUACCCGAUUGUUCUGACGGUACCCAAAGAAUAAGCACCGGCUAACUUCGUGCCAGCCGCCGCCGUAA